GUAGGUAGCUCAACAAUGGGUAGAGCAGUAUAAUUUUUUAAAUUAGAAGUUUGCAGGUUCGAGUCCUGCUAUCUACG
Molecule: transfer RNA, 77 nt
Filed under: Pediococcus pentosaceus
Lineage: Bacteria; Bacillati; Bacillota; Bacilli; Lactobacillales; Lactobacillaceae
Description: tRNA-Lys
Rfam family: tRNA
About the family: Transfer RNA (tRNA) molecules are approximately 80 nucleotides in length. Their secondary structure includes four short double-helical elements and three loops (D, anti-codon, and T loops).
Source: RNAcentral